GGAGAGUGAUGGGUGCCUGGUGGCCUCCGCGGUCUUCAAAACCGUUGUGGGCGUUUAACGCGUCCAGGUUGGUUCGAUUCCUUCCCUCUCCG
This 92-nucleotide transfer RNA is filed under the name Verrucomicrobiia bacterium. RNAcentral's name for it is "tRNA-Sec". It matches the Rfam family "Selenocysteine transfer RNA". The record is from RNAcentral. Lineage: Bacteria; Pseudomonadati; Verrucomicrobiota; Verrucomicrobiia.